AUACGGAGGAUCCGAGCGUUAUCCGGAUUUAUAGGGUUUAAAGGGUGCGCAGGCGGCCAUUUAAGUCAGCGGUUAAAUCGUGGGGCUCAACCCCAUUCUGCCGUUGAUACUGGGUGGCUUGAUUGCGGUCGAGGUUGGCGGAAUUCGUUGUGUAGCGGUGAAAUGCAUAGAUAUGACGAAGAACACCGAUUGCGUAGGCAGCUGACCAGAUCGCAAAUGACGCUCAUGCACGAAAGUGCGGGGAUCGAACAGGAUUAGAUACCCUGGUAGUCCGCACAGUAAACGAUGAAUACUUGUUUUCGGCGAUAUAAUGUCGGAGGCAAAGCGAAAGCGAUAAGUAUUCCACCUGGGGAGUACGCCGGCAACGGUGAAACUCAAAUGAAUUGACGAG
This 391-nucleotide ribosomal RNA is filed under the name uncultured bacterium. RNAcentral's name for it is "partial 16S ribosomal RNA". It matches the Rfam family "Bacterial small subunit ribosomal RNA", at positions 523 to 917 of the family's 1533-position model. The record is from RNAcentral.